UAAUAAACCGGAGGAAGUGGGGAUGACGUCAAGUCCUCAUGGCCCUUAUGGGUAGGGCUUCACACGUCAUACAAUGGUCGGUACAGAGGGUUGCCAAGCCGCGAGGCGGAGCCAAUCCCACAAAGCCGAUCGUAGUCCGGAUUGUUCUCUGCAACUCGAGAGCAUGAAGUCGGAAUCGCUAGUAAUCGCAGGUCAGCAUACUGCGGUGAAUACGUUCCCGGGUCUU
RNAcentral lists this ribosomal RNA (226 nucleotides) under uncultured Thiobacillus sp. RNAcentral describes it as "partial 16S ribosomal RNA". It matches the Rfam family "Bacterial small subunit ribosomal RNA", at positions 1156 to 1382 of the family's 1533-position model. The record is from RNAcentral. Lineage: Bacteria; Pseudomonadati; Pseudomonadota; Betaproteobacteria; Nitrosomonadales; Thiobacillaceae.